GGAUGAAUGGCUAGAGCAAAUGGUUUAAUCUACAAAUCAAAUAGUUCUCAUGCAUUAGUUUUGUCUGACCCAAGAGGAACUAGUCGUCCAGGCUCUCUUUUGUAAAUAUAUUGGGACUUGAGGUUUCUAAGAAAUGUAAAGUAUUCUUUCAGUUGCUUACCCUUGGAGAUCUUAAUACCAACAAUAAAUUCAAAUGCAAAAUCGAUCCUGCUAUCUCAAUCCAAACUAGUCUUCACUCUCUGCGCUCCUUUGUGGUGGCCCUCUAGUGCCAGCUGCUGAAUA
This 282-nucleotide unclassified non-coding RNA is filed under the name Hevea brasiliensis (rubber tree). Lineage: Eukaryota; Viridiplantae; Streptophyta; Magnoliopsida; Malpighiales; Euphorbiaceae. The record is from RNAcentral.